Molecule: ribosomal RNA, 597 nt
Filed under: uncultured Pseudozyma
Lineage: Eukaryota; Fungi; Basidiomycota; Ustilaginomycetes; Ustilaginales; Ustilaginaceae
Description: eukaryotic LSU rRNA
Rfam family: Eukaryotic large subunit ribosomal RNA
Source: RNAcentral
UAGCUAACGGCGAGUGAAGAGGGAAGAGCCCAAGAUUGAAAGCUGGCGUCUUCGGCGUCCGCAUUGUAAUCUCAAGAAGUGUUUUCCGCUUCGGACCAAGCCUAAGUCCCCUGGAAAGGGGCAUCAUAGAGGGUGAUAAUCCCGUACAUGGCUUGGAGCGCCCGAGGCUUUGUGAUACGCUUUCUAAGAGUCGAGUUGUUUGGGAAUGCAGCUCAAAAUGGGUGGUAAAUGCCAUCUAAGGCUAAAUAUUGGGGAGAGACCGAUAGCGAACAAGUACAGUGAUGGAAAGAUGAAAAGAACUUUGAAAAGAGAGUUAAACAGUACGUGAAAUUGCCAAAAGGGAAGGGUAGGAGGUCAGAGAUGCGGCCUGGGAUUCAGCCUUGCUUUUGCUUGGUGUUUUUCCCAGAUUGCAGGCCAACGUCGGUUUUGGGCACUGGAGAAGGGUAGGAGGAACGUGGCACCCCUCGGGGUGUGUUAUAGCCUCCUACUGGAUACAGCGACCGAGACCGAGGACAGCAGCGUACUCGCAAGAGCGGGCCUUCGGGCACCUUUACGCUUAGGGCGUUGGCAUAAUGGCCCUCUACCACCCGUCUUGAA